AUGAACGCUAGCGGCAGGCUUAACACAUGCAAGUCGAGGGGCAGCAUGAGAGCGUAGCAAUACAUCUUGAUGGCGACCGGCGCAAGGGUGCGUAACGCGUGAGCAACUUGCCCGCAUCAGGGGCAUAAUCGGUGGAAACGCCGUCUAACUCCCCAUAACAUACGAGGUGGCAUCACUUUGUAUUGAAAUCCUUGGAGGAUGCGGAUGGGCUCGCGUGACAUUAGGCAGUUGGCGGGGUAACGGCCCACCAAACCUACGAUGUCUAGGGGAACUGAGAGGUUAAUCCCCCACACUGGAACUGAGACACGGUCCAGACUCCUACGGGAGGCAGCAGUGAGGAAUAUUGGACAAUGGAGGGAACUCUGAUCCAGCCAUGCCGCGUGCAAGGAUAAGGUCCUAUGGAUUGUAAACUGUCUUUUGUACGGGAGCAAUAAGGUCCACGUGUGGGUCGAUGAGAGUACCGUACGAAUAAGCAUCGGCUAACUCCGUGCCAGCCGCCGC
RNAcentral lists this ribosomal RNA (501 nucleotides) under uncultured bacterium. RNAcentral's name for it is "bacterial SSU rRNA". It matches the Rfam family "Bacterial small subunit ribosomal RNA", at positions 29 to 518 of the family's 1533-position model. The record is from RNAcentral.